This 78-nucleotide transfer RNA is filed under the name Candidatus Thorarchaeota archaeon. Its description in RNAcentral is "tRNA-Gln". It matches the Rfam family "tRNA". From Rfam's summary of the family: Transfer RNA (tRNA) molecules are approximately 80 nucleotides in length. Lineage: Archaea; Promethearchaeati; Candidatus Thorarchaeota. The record is from RNAcentral. RNAcentral also lists the same sequence under 1 other name.
AGGCACGUAGACAAGUGGUCUAAGUCGUCUGGUUUUGGACCAGAUAUUUCGUAGGUUCGAAUCCUACCGUGCCUGCCA